This 530-nucleotide ribosomal RNA is filed under the name uncultured eukaryote. Its description in RNAcentral is "SSU rRNA". It matches the Rfam family "Eukaryotic small subunit ribosomal RNA", at positions 21 to 549 of the family's 1831-position model. The record is from RNAcentral.
UAGUCAUAUGCUUGUCUCAAAGAUUAAGCCAUGCAUGUCUAAGUACAAGCCUCACUAAGGUGAAACCGCGAAUGGCUCAUUAAAUCACACCUAAUCUACUGGAUAGUUAACAGUUACUUGGAUAACUGCGGUAAUUCUGGAGCUAAUACAUGCACAAAGCCCCGAACUUACGUGAGGGGCGCUUUUAUUAGAUCAAAACCAAACUGCUUCGGCUGUAUCCUUGGUGACUCUGAAUAACUUUGGGCUGAUCGCAUGGCCUAGCGCCGGCGACAUAUCCUUCGAAGGUGUGCCCUAUCAACUGUCGACUGUGGCAUAGACGCCCACAGUGGUUUUGACGGGUAACGGGGAAUCAGGGUUCGAUUCCGGAGAGGGAGCCUUAAAAACGGCUACCACAUCUAAGGAAGGCAGCAGGCACGCAAAUUACCCAAUGACCGAAGGUCGAGGUAGUGACAAAAAAUAACGAUACGGGACUCAUCUGAGGCCCCGUAAUCGGAAUGAGUACACUUUAAAACCGUCCCCGAGGAUCUAUU